Long non-coding RNA from Rhipicephalus sanguineus (brown dog tick), 957 nucleotides. RefSeq lists it as uncharacterized. The transcript has 2 exons. The record is from RefSeq and is a predicted model, not a curated record. NCBI's taxonomy places the organism in Eukaryota, Metazoa, Arthropoda, Arachnida, Ixodida, Ixodidae.
AAAUGUUUUGUAGAACGCAAAAACUAUAAUUUCUUUAUGACGUGAACUCGAUAGCUUACGUAUAAUUUGUUCCAACGAAUGAUGGGAUUUCUAAGUGCUAUAAUUUCGUAUUUAGAUUCUUAUUUAUGCUUUCCCUUCGUACCUUUGAUGAAUGGCCACUCCUUGGAACCACUAUAGCUCCUGUGCUAGUAUCGCUUCAAUUGUUUGAUGAUCUGUAAGACGCUGCUGAAUAACGAAAUGCAUUGAAUGCACUUUGCAUAUUUCUGCAUCCUGUGGGUCAAUUUUCAAGCUCACCAUAAUAGUGCCAUCUCUCUAUGUCACUCUCCAAUAAGUGCUUCUCACAAACGUAUGCAAGAGCCGUGAGCUCUCGAUCUUCGUAUUCUGCGAGCCUACACUUGAAACCUCACUGGGCCACUCGGAACUUUAAAGGCAAUUACCUUCUCCUUGCAGGAUGCGUAGCCACUGUUGCAGUUCCGCUCGACACUUUUGCGCCUUGUCAUACAGAAGUACUGAUGGAAAUUCUGGAAAGCACUCACCUUUGUUGAGGCGUUAAAAGCUCGCACAGAGAGCGAGAAGCCAGCGCCACUGGCGCAACGCGGAAGCCCGCGAGAAUGCUAAAGAGAGACAGAAAGCCCAUAGAUCGCAAAAGCUUGCACUCCCAAGGCCACCUACGCAUGCAUGUGCACAACGUGCGAGCGCAAGGGACCAGUGGAUGCGGCCAUGGGAUGCGGCAGAUGUCGUCUGCUCAGGGACCACUACCAUUUUAAAAGCAGCGGUUACAUGCCCACAAACCAGCCCUGGCACUUGUUGGAUCACUGUUGCAUCAGCACCAAACUCCAUUGUCCUGAGUUAUUGAUGUUUUCAUAUUGUUUGAAGUGAAAAUUGUAAAGCUAAAAGCUUUCUUGUUGACUCUUUCUAUACGUAUGUUAUGAGAGAGUUUAUAAAUAAAGCUUUUUU